RNAcentral lists this ribosomal RNA (447 nucleotides) under uncultured bacterium. RNAcentral describes it as "partial 16S ribosomal RNA". It matches the Rfam family "Bacterial small subunit ribosomal RNA", at positions 29 to 523 of the family's 1533-position model. The record is from RNAcentral.
AACGAACGCUGGCGGCAGGCUUAACACAUGCAAGUCGAACGCCCCGCAAGGGGAGUGGCAGACGGGUGAGUAACGCGUGGGAAUCUACCCAUCUCUGCGGAAUAGCUCCGGGAGACUGGAAUUAAUACCGCAUACGCCCUACGGGGGAAAGAUUUAUCGGGGAUGGAUGAGCCCGCGUUGGAUUAGCUAGUUGGUGGGGUAAAGGCCUACCAAGGCGACGAUCCAUAGCUGGUCUGAGAGGAUGAUCAGCCACAUUGGGACUGAGACACGGCCCAGACUCCUACGGGAGGCAGCAGUGGGGAAUAUUGGACAAUGGGCGCAAGCCUGAUCCAGCCAUGCCGCGUGAGUGAUGAAGGCCUUAGGGUUGUAAAGCUCUUUCACCGGUGAAGAUAAUGACGGUAACCGGAGAAGAAGCCCCGGCUAACUUCGUGCCAGCCGCCGCGGUAA